This is a long non-coding RNA of Biomphalaria glabrata, 445 nucleotides long. RefSeq lists it as uncharacterized. The transcript has 3 exons. NCBI's taxonomy places the organism in Eukaryota, Metazoa, Mollusca, Gastropoda, Planorbidae. The record is from RefSeq and is a predicted model, not a curated record.
UGUGUACUGAAGUAGAACUUACUGAAGUAGAACUGCUCACUCAACAAUGAAGGCUGUUCUUAUAACCUUCGUGACUUUACUGUGUAUCUCUACAAUGAUGCUUCCAAACGUAAUCAUGCCGAGACUUUCAGUUGAUGGAUAUCCUUUAAUGACAUUUGGACGAGAGAGCGAUGCCGAAAGAGUAGCCAGAGAUAACGAAUUUUUGAGAUUUGGCGCAAAUAAAGCCUCCACGAGAGAGUAAAACUACGUUUGACAAGAUUAAGGCAAGACACGGCUUGUGUACCCUUUCAAAGUUACUCAUAAAGUAAUAUCUACACCUUUUUGGAAAAAGGAAAAUCAGAAACCAAACUUUAAAUAUACUUUUUAGAUUUUACAAUUAGACAUCCCUAACUUUCAGUUGAACAAAUGUUUUAAAGACUGAUCAAAUAAAAGUACAUCAGUAGCA